Molecule: non-coding RNA, 45 nt
Organism: Schistosoma rodhaini
Lineage: Eukaryota; Metazoa; Platyhelminthes; Trematoda; Strigeidida; Schistosomatidae
Source: Rfam
AUCCAGCUGACGAAUCCCAAUUAGGAGGGAACGCUCGUCCUGGAU